CACGGUCCAGACUCCUACGGGAGGCAGCAGUGAGGAAUAUUGGGCAAUGGAGGCAACUCUGACCCAGCCAUGCCGCGUGAGUGAGAAGGUUUUCGAAUUGUAAAGCUCUUUCGGGUGUGAAGAUGAUGACGGUAACACCAGAAGAAGCCCCGGCAAACUUCGUGCCAGCAGCCGCGGUAAUACGAAGGGGGCGAGCGUUGUUCGGAAUUACUGGGCGUAAAGGGUGUGUAGGCGGUUAAGUAAGAUAGUGGUGAAAUGCCGGGGCUCAACCUCGGAAUUGCCAUUAUGACUAUUUAGCUAGAAUGAUGCAGAGGAUAGCGGAAUUCCCAGUGUAGCGGUGAAAUGCGUAGAUAUUGGGUAGAACACCAGUGGCGAAGGCGGCUAUCUGGGCAUUGACUGACGCUGAGGCACGAAAGCAUGGGGAUCAAACAGGAUUAGAUACCCUGGUAGUCCAUGCUGUAAACGAUGAAUGCUAGUUGUUGGAGGAAUUCAGUGACGCAGUUAACACAAUAAGCAUUCCGCCUGGGGAGUACGGUCGCAAGAUUAAAACUCAAAGGAAUUGACGGGGACCCGCACAAGCGGUGGAGCAUGUGGUUUAAUUCGAUGCAACGCGAAGAACCUUACCAACUCUUGACAUCCUCAUUAGGGAGGGGAGAGAUUCCCUCUUUCAGUUAGGCUGGGUGAGUGACAGAUGCUGCAUGGCUGUCGUCAGCUCGUGUCGUGAGAUGUUGGGUUAAGUCCCGCAACGAGCGCAACCCCUGCUAUCAGUUGCCAGCAGGUAGAGCUGGGCACUCUGAUAGGACUGCCGGGGACAAGCCGGAGGAAGGUGGGGAUGACGUCAAAUCAUCAUGCCCCUUAUGAGUUGGGCUACACACGUGCUACAAUGGCAGCUACAGAGAGGAGCGAAGCUGUGAAGCGGAGCCAAUCUUAAAAAGCUGUCUCAGUUCGGAUUGUUCUCUGCAACUCGAGAACAUGAAGUUGGAAUCGCUAGUAAUCGCGGAUCAGCAUGCCGCG
RNAcentral lists this ribosomal RNA (1014 nucleotides) under human gut metagenome. RNAcentral describes it as "bacterial SSU rRNA". It matches the Rfam family "Bacterial small subunit ribosomal RNA", at positions 325 to 1361 of the family's 1533-position model. The record is from RNAcentral.